UACGAAGGGGGCUAGCGUUGCUCGGAAUUACUGGGCGUAAAGCGCACGUAGGCGGAUUUGUAAGUCAGGGGUGAAAUCCCGGGGCUCAACCUCGGAACUGCCUUUGAUACUGCAAAUCUCGAGUCCGGAAGAGGUGAGUGGAAUUCCUAGUGUAGAGGUGAAAUUCGUAGAUAUUCGCAAGAACACCAGUGGCGAAGGCGGCUCACUGGCCCGGUACUGACGCUGAGGCACGAAAGCGUGGGGAGCAAACAGG
Molecule: ribosomal RNA, 253 nt
Filed under: uncultured bacterium
Lineage: Bacteria
Description: partial 16S ribosomal RNA
Rfam family: Bacterial small subunit ribosomal RNA
Source: RNAcentral